CCUACGGGCGGCUGCAGUGGGGAAUAUUGGACAAUGGGCGAAAGCCUGAUCCAGCCAUGCCGCGUGUGUGAAGAAGGCCUUCGGGUUGUAAAGCACUUUCAGUGGGGAAGAAAGCCUUGGGGCUAAUACCCUCGAGGAAGGACAUCACCCACAGAAGAAGCACCGGCUAACUCCGUGCCAGCAGCCGCGGUAAUACGGAGGGUGCGAGCGUUAAUCGGAAUUACUGGGCGUAAAGCGCGCGUAGGCGGUCUGAUAAGCCGGUUGUGAAAGCCCCGGGCUCAACCUGGGAACGGCAUCCGGAACGGUCAGGCUAGAGUGCAGGAGAGGAAGGUAGAAUUCCCGGUGUAGCGGUGAAAUGCGUAGAGAUCGGGAGGAAUACCAGUGGCGAAGGCGGCCUUCUGGACUGACACUGACGCUGAGGUGCGAAAGCGUGGGUAGCAAACAGGAUUAGAUACCCGGGUAGUC
This 465-nucleotide ribosomal RNA is filed under the name Vreelandella stevensii. RNAcentral describes it as "partial 16S ribosomal RNA". It matches the Rfam family "Bacterial small subunit ribosomal RNA", at positions 338 to 795 of the family's 1533-position model. The record is from RNAcentral. Lineage: Bacteria; Pseudomonadati; Pseudomonadota; Gammaproteobacteria; Oceanospirillales; Halomonadaceae.